Molecule: ribosomal RNA, 468 nt
Filed under: uncultured bacterium
Lineage: Bacteria
Description: partial 16S ribosomal RNA
Rfam family: Bacterial small subunit ribosomal RNA
Source: RNAcentral
GACGAACGCUGGCGGCGUGCUUAACACAUGCAAGUCGAACGGAAAGGCCCUGCUUUUGUGGGGUGCUCGAGUGGCGAACGGGUGAGUAACACGUGAGUAACCUGCCCUUGACUUUGGGAUAACUUCAGGAAACUGGGGCUAAUACCGGAUAGGAGCUCCUGCUGCAUGGUGGGGGUUUGAAAGUUUCGGCGGUUGGGGAUGGACUCGCGGCUUAUCAGCUUGUUGGUGGGGUAGUGGCUUACCAAGGCUUUGACGGGUAGCCGGCCUGAGAGGGUGACCGGCCACAUUGGGACUGAGAUACGGCCCAGACUCCUACGGGAGGCAGCAGUGGGGAAUAUUGCACAAUGGACGGAAGCCUGAUGCAGCAACGCCGCGUGCGGGAUGACGGCCUUCGGGUUGUAAACCGCUUUCGCCUGUGACGAAGCGUGAGUGACGGUAAUGGGUAAAGAAGCACCGGCUAACUACGUG